Long non-coding RNA from Sitodiplosis mosellana (orange wheat blossom midge), 515 nucleotides. RefSeq lists it as uncharacterized. The record is from RefSeq and is a predicted model, not a curated record. The transcript is spliced from 3 exons. Lineage: Eukaryota; Metazoa; Arthropoda; Insecta; Diptera; Cecidomyiidae.
AGGACCAAAUAUUAAUUAUUAUUUUAUUUCCAUUUUAAUUUACACGAGACUGUUCAAUUUUUCGGAAACAAUCUUGGUAUGAACUGAAUUGAAUUCAAACAUGUUGGGUGUUUGAUAUUCAAUAUCCUGAACACGAUAUCUUAUCGACCAAACAUCCAUUGUGUAUUACACCCAGUUUUUCGUGCUGCUGCUAUAGUAAAAGUUACGAUUCUCAAUCGGUACAUUUUCAGUGAAAUUCUUAGAAAAUAGGUGUUAUUAUUAAAAUUAAUCAAGUGCUGAAAUUGAAACGGAUGUUCUUGAUGACAACAGUAGCCAGAGUUUGAAUUGAUUUCGAUUUCAAUCAAUCUGAUGAUGUCUUAAAAAUUUGAAACAUGUCAGAUAGUGAAGAUUCAGAUGGAGAAGGUGGUCUGGGUAAUGUCAGCCGAAUAAUUAUUAGACCUCCGGGACAUAGCGGAAAAGCGAAACGUGGCCAUUUGUGUUUUGAUGCAGCAUUUGAAACGGGAAAUUUGGGUCGC